UACGUAGGGUGCAAGCGUUGUCCGGAUUUAUUGGGCUUAAAGGGUGCGUAGGCGGCCCUGUAAGUCAGUGGUGAAAUACUCCAGCUUAACUGGAGGGGUGCCAUUGAUACUGCAGGGCUUGAGUGGAGUCGAAGUAGGCGGAAUUGACGGUGUAGCGGUGAAAUGCUUAGAUAUCGGCAAGAACACCGAUAGUGAAGGCAGCUUACUAGGCUUCUACUGACGCUGAGGCACGAAAGUGUGGGGAUCAAACAGG
RNAcentral lists this ribosomal RNA (253 nucleotides) under uncultured bacterium. Its description in RNAcentral is "partial 16S ribosomal RNA". It matches the Rfam family "Bacterial small subunit ribosomal RNA", at positions 524 to 776 of the family's 1533-position model. The record is from RNAcentral.